Molecule: long non-coding RNA, 675 nt
Filed under: Pan troglodytes (chimpanzee)
Lineage: Eukaryota; Metazoa; Chordata; Mammalia; Primates; Hominidae
Description: lincRNA
Source: RNAcentral
ACUAGCCAUGUGAACUUGGGCAAGUGACCUAAUCCUCUGCAUUUCAUCUCUAAAUUGGGGAGAAUAGAAGCAUCUACUUCAUGUAGUAGCCAGGAUUAGAAGAGAUGGGGCCACUUGAGGGAAAAUACCUACCCAAGGGCACAUAAUCUGUACAUGAGAGAGAGCCAGAUGUAACAGACUGAGUACUGGACUUGGGGUUAAACAGACUGUGAAUCCUUCCACCCCAUUGGGAGGAAUAACUGGGCCCUGGAUAGAAUGUGAUGAAUGAAUAUUCUUAAUGAGAAGUGGAAAUAAUUUGUGGUUGAGAGCUGUGCCUCAGAUCAGAGUGACAGGAUACAUGGCUAGGCUAUAUUUUCCAGCAGAUUAAGAGCUGCAGCCCAAGACUCUGAAAUAUGAAGAAAAAAGGAGAAGAUGACAGCAUAUCUUUUUAAAGAAAUAUUUUCCAGCCAAAUGGUGCAGCAGAGGACUUCCAGGAAUUUGUUCUUGUUCUGUAUCAAAGGUGAAGAGUUCGUAGCCUUCAAGGAAACAAGAAACCAUGGGAUGGAGUGAAGGAAGGUGGCCUGGAACCAGCUGCUGAGCCUCUCUGAGCCCCAGUUUCCUCAUCUCUAAAAUGGGGCUGAUCUCCUCUCCCUCAGACUGUUGUUGCAGGAAUUAAAACAGGUGUUGAGUGGGAAA